CGCACAAUCUCCUGCUUGGCCGUGAUGGUGAAGCUCGGUCUGGAAGCUCCGAGUUUAUCUUGGGAACUCAAGAGGAGAGGAUCACCCAGUUCACAGGUAUUUGAGGAUACAAACCCAUUGCUGGGCUCGGCUUUAAAGGUCUUAUCUGAAAUUCCUUGUGAAACAGAGUUUCAUCAAAGCCAAUCCAAAAGGCCUAUGUAGAAAUAACCAUUCUUGCUGCACUUUAUGCAAAUAAUCAGGCCAAAUAUAAGACUACAGUUUAUUUACAAUUUGUUUUUACCAAAAAUGAGGACUAGAGAGAAAAAUGGCGCUCCAAAGCUUAUCAUACAUUUGUCAUUAAGUCCUAGUCUCAUUAAUUGUUUUCAAGCUUUUCGCCUACAUUUUAGACUAACCCUGCUUAUUCCUGUGAAUCAAGUAGUGAUCUCCUGCAGCUUGGAAGAAAAAAUAAGGUAUGGGUAAUGUAAAAAUCUGGAUCAAUAUACUGGUUCUGGGCAAUUAUCCUGCAAAUUCUGCCAGGUAAUAAAAGUGAGUAGGGUGCCCAUAAUCCGGAAGUUUCUUUGUUUAGGAAAAUAAAAACAAGGAACUUCAUAGACCCCCCCAAAGGGGAAUUCUAUAUCUUGACAAGUAAAAUUUUAGAUGGAAAUUAUCUACAACACCACACUUACGGAAAUUGCUAUCCUCACUCUAUUAUUUGCAAAAGGGUUAUACACAGUAGCACCUUCUAACUGAAGUAUUAAACAGAGAGUUUCCAUUGCUGUCGUAUUUUGCUUAAUUAUUAUCCUUAUAGCAGGGAUAAUAGUUACUAACAAAAAGGAAGCAUGAAAGUUUUACUAUCACUGAGCCUGGUAGGACUUUUUAUUGGGUUUAGUGAUGCAGUUUUAAAUGAAACAUGCUGCUUUUGGAUUAAUACCUCUAGUAAAGGAAAAUUUACAGAUACUUAAAAAUCAAAUCAAAAUUAUUGAUAGGCUCAGGAAAAAUGCCAGCUUCAGCCCUGAGUGGCUAGAAACCCUCUUUAAUAAAUUCCAGUCUUCUUUAUGGAAUUGGUUAACGCCUUUAUUAAGCCCUCUCUUGCUUAUAUGUCUUGUAUUGAUAUUUGGACUCUGUAUAUACAAUACUAUAACUCGAAUUGUUUCUUCACACCUAGAAGCAAUCAAACUCCAAAUGGUGCUAUAAACUGAACCACACAUGGACAGGCCAUUCUUCUGAGGACCCUUAGAUCGAUCCCAGGGGGAGCCCUAGCUGCUAUUCCCCAUUCAACGCCCCUUUUCAGCAGGAAGUAGCCAGAAGGAGUCGCCGCCCAAAAUCCCCUAACAGCAGUUAGUGUGGCAUCUCCACAGGAAGUAAUGUUGUAGGAGUUACUAAGAAAUUAUUUUAGGCAAAUAGAGAGGAAAAGGGGUCCUUGGGAAGUUUUCAUUUUUUAAAGCAUCUCUGGAAAAGUUUCUUGUAAAGCCCCGGCUCUUAGAGCCAGGCUGGCAACCUUUGAUAUGCAAAUGCAAGUCAUUAGAAACCGGGUCCACCCAGGCCAGGUGUGGUGGCUCACGCCUGUAAUCCCAACACUUUGGGAGGCCUAGGCAGGUGGAUCACCUGAGGUCAGGAGUUCGAGACCAGCCUGGCCAACAUGGUGAAACCCCGCCUCUAAUAAAAACACAAAAAACUAGCCAGGUGUGCUGCUGCGUGUCUGUAAUCCCAGCUACUCGGGAGGCUGAGGCAGGAGAACUGCUUGAACCCAGGAGGCAGAGGUUGCAGUGAGCUGAGAUUGUGUCAUUGCACUCCAGCCUGGGCGACAGCAAGACUCUGUCAAAAAAAAAAAAAAAAAAAAAAAACAGCCAGGCGUGGUAGCAUGCCUGUAGUCCCAGCUACUUGGGAGGCUGAGAUGGGAGGAUCACCCUCAACUGGGGAAGUUGAGGCUGCAGUGAGCUGAAAUCGCACCACUGCACUCCAGCCUGGGUGACAGACUGAGACCCUGUCAAAUAAAUUAUGUAUGUAUGUAUAUUUGUAUGUAUGUAUGUUAACCUCAUCCUAAAACAUCCUCACAGAACAUCCAGAAUAAUGUUUGACCAAAUAUCUGGGCACCAAUGGCACAUUCAAGUUGACACAUAAAAUUAACCCUCACAAUACCGUACUGUACAACUUUUGGAGUGAAGCUGGAAUGUCAUCGCAUUUCCAAGACUAACUCAGUGUCCACAAAUGAUGCUUAAGUCAUGAGGAUCAUCUCGGAUUUGGAUUUGGAUGCCUGACAAGCCCUCACUCUUCAGACUAAAUGUCUGAUUUGCAUGGAGAAUUAUCAAGAGAAGCAACAAUGCCAAGCAGACUAUUCCAGGUCAAAAUAGUCAAAUUAAUAAUUCAUAAAUUAUUAUAUGUUUUGAAGGUAUCGCAAAAUUAAAGUUGCAAGAACAGUACAGAUAACUUUUUUCCUGAACCAUUUGAGAGUAGGUUGCAGACCUGGUGCCCCAUCAUUUCUGAAUAUUUUAGUGUGCAUUUUCUACAAACAAGGACAUUUUCCAGCAUAAUCACAAUGCACCCAUCAAUGUCAUGAAAUUAAUGUUGGUACAUUACUACCACCUAGUCCUCAGACCCUAUUCAAAUUAUACCAGUUAUCAUAAUAGUUUCUUAUAAUUUAUAGCAAAAUGAUGCAAACCAGGAGCAUGCAUUGCAUUUUUAUGAAUUUUUAAAACAAUUAAGUCUGUGUAGUGAGUGAAGCCACAGUGAUAGGAAUAUAUAAAGGCUUUGCAUCUAGAAUUUGUUCUGAAAACCCUGAGAUUCAAGUAGUACAUUAUUUCAUUUACUGUUUUACACAGAGAAGCCCUCAUUUGUAAGAGUUUGCCUUUCUGAUUUCCACCGGAAAUGAUACUAUCAGUAUCAUACUCAGAAUCUAAUUACAUACAAGGCAGUAACCUCUCACCUGUUUUCAGCUUUGUGUAAAGACAAGGGAUCAAAACAUCCCUUUCUGCUAUUUCAUACUUAAGUAUGGGAGCUGAUCCAAAGGAAGAAUAGUUUCAAAAGUUUGUAGCAAAAAAAAUUUAAAAGGUGAAGAUUUUUUCCUUGAAUGAUUCUCACCUGGCAGAUCUAUGGAAAGAUUAGCUGACUCUGGAUCCCUGAAUAUAGUUAAUAGAAAUUUGGAAGGACCAUGUCAAAAUUAACUAAUGUGAACUGACAAAGAUUUGGUGUUCAAAGCAAAAAUUAAACUUUGGAAAAGUGAGCAAGUACUUAAUCAGAAACAAAAAAAAAAAAGAAAGGAAAAGUUAGGUGAAAAUGGUUUCCAGGUGUUGUUGCUGUUAUAGUUUGAAUCAUAAAAGUUGUUAAAAGUCUGCUGUAACAAACCAUCAUAGACUGGGUGACUUAUGAAGAACAAAAAUGUAUUUCUCACAGUUCCAGAGGCUGGGAAGUCUAAGAUCAAGGCAUCAGCAGAUUCAGUGUCUGGUGAGGGCCCACUUUCUGGUUCAUAGAUGGCACCUUCUCACUGUCUCCCCACGUGAUGGAAGGGGCAAGGGGUCUCUCUUGGUACUCUUUUAUUAAGGGCACUAAUCCCAUCCAUGGGGCUCCACCUUCAUGACCUAUUCAUCUCCCAUAGGCCCUACCUGCAGAUACCAUCGUAUGGGGGAUUUGAUUUCAGCCUGUGAAUUUGGGGGAAGCGGGACAAACAUUCGUUUUGUAGCAAAAGGAGUAGAGUAAUAUCUGCCAAUAACUGGAGGAAAGAAUUGUUCUUUUAAAACUAUUAAAUUGUUUAAUGGGAUUUAAAUGAUUUCAGGAAUGAAAUGGAAAUCCUGGUAAUGGGUAGAAACAUAGGUAAAUUCUCCUUUUCCACUUACCACCACCUGUGUGAACAACAAUCAUUUCUCAUUAAUAGUCAAGAAUUUGAGGAGAUCAUGAGUAAAAAGUCUUGAUCAGAAAUUGUGUAUAGCUGUUUCCA
Molecule: long non-coding RNA, 3910 nt
Filed under: Pan troglodytes (chimpanzee)
Lineage: Eukaryota; Metazoa; Chordata; Mammalia; Primates; Hominidae
Description: long non-coding RNA NONPTRT018277
Source: RNAcentral